CAGCCGCCGCGGUAAUCCGAAGGGGGCUAGCGUUGUUCGGAAUUACUGGGCGUAAAGGGCGCGUAGGCGGCCAUUCAAGUUAGAUGUGAAAGCCCAGGGCUCAACCUAGGAAUUGCAUUUGAUACUGUUUGGCUUGAGUUCGGGAGAGGUGAGUGGAAUUCCCAGUGUAGAGGUGAAAUUCGUAGAUAUUGGGAAGAACACCAGUGGCGAAGGCGGCUCACUGGACCGACACUGACGCUGAGGCGCGAAAGCGUGGGGAGCAAACAGGAUUAGAUACCCCUGUAGUCCCUGUCUCUUAUAC
Molecule: ribosomal RNA, 301 nt
Filed under: uncultured bacterium
Lineage: Bacteria
Description: partial 16S ribosomal RNA
Rfam family: Bacterial small subunit ribosomal RNA
Source: RNAcentral